Molecule: long non-coding RNA, 2798 nt
Organism: Carassius auratus (goldfish)
Lineage: Eukaryota; Metazoa; Chordata; Actinopteri; Cypriniformes; Cyprinidae
Exons: 4
Source: RefSeq, a predicted model, not a curated record
UUAAAUAACAUAACAGGCUUUGAUCGAUGAAUAGUUUUUUUAAAAUAACACUAUCAGCAGAUGUCUGUGUAAUCUGCUUAACAUGAAGAAAAUUACAGGAAUGUCAUGAAAUAUGGUUUAAAACCAUCAUAGACUGUAAGAUAGCAUAACAUAAUUUGAUCAAUGAAUUGUUUUUUUUUUUUAUUAAUAUCACUACCAUCAGAUAACAUGAAAUGAUAAAAUACUCACUUUGAUCCGUUGUCUUGGAAAGCAAAUGUCUUGGAGAGUCGUCCAAAAAGUUUUUCUGCUUCAAAGUGAUGGUUUGUAACGCGUAUAAAUAGGUUUAUAAGGGGGUGCUGUGAAAGAAAAUCGGUGUUGAGUGACCACUAGGUGUCAUCCUUGUUCUAUGAAUGAACUUGUUCGAAAGGUGGGAAACUGAACCAGGGUCGCUCAUGUCGUCAUAAAUUAGACGGGUACAAAGAGAUGCUAGCCGCUCGCCCACCGUAAUUCACAGAUGCAGCCGUCAGAAACUGUCAAAAACAUGGUACUCCUUCGUGAGAUACGUUAGUUUUAAUUAGCAAUGUCUUUGAAGAUAUUAUGAUUUUGUAGUAAAUUCGGAAGAAAGUGAAGUGUAGCGUGCAAACGAAGACGCUGUGAAUACUUGCGGGUCAGGAAGGUGAUGUGAAAACAACUCCUUUCAGCUCUCUAAACAUGGAUCUCGUUUUAUCUGAAAACAGUCGGUUUCAGUAUAUUUUUUAUAACGGUUUCAUUUAUAACCUUUUUUAAAAGAACGGAAUGUUUUUCAAGCUUAGAAUAUGUAUAUUAUAUAAAGAACUACGUGUUUUCAAACUCUGUUGUACUGUUUUACUACAAAGUCUCUGUCUCACUCCCUGGGGCACGAGCGCGCGCCUGCAGGCGCGCUCUCUCUCCGUAUCUCUCCUGGGGCACGAGCGCGGAUCAACCGUGUGCUAUCAUUCAGAGAGAGUCCGACAGAUGGAGCUGGAGUCCCGUUUCUCACAAAGCUGAAGCUUCUGUCUAAAUAAGGUCCUGGGGCAGAAACUGACAAAGCACAACUGGAAAGAUCUGAUUAAAAGUGCUUUAUUUCCCUAUAGUGGCCUUCGAGUUGGAUGUCUUGCACAAUCAAAGAAAAUAGUUUCCUUCCACGCUCCAUUGCAUCCAAAAUCAGAUACUUCUGUUUAAACUACACAGUAUUCAAAAAACGACGGACAGAAGAAAUCUAGGCCUUCACGAAACAAUCAUUUCGAGACUGGAAGUCUGGUUCAACCUAACAAAUGGAAGGACCUCAUCCUCUCCCUUCCUGUCUUUCAGACUCUUUUGGGAGGAUGAGGUGAGGGGAAAACAGGGAGGACUGGUGGUGAAGCACACACGUGUCAUCAUGAGCUGUUUCAAUUUUGCUAAAUAAAGACAUUUUUGUUGGGUGUCAGCAUCUCUGUGCCAUUGUGCAUUGUGCUGGGACCAGCAACAGAAAAUGCCCUCCAGAUCUACAUCCACAUCAGCAAACAGCACACAAUGGGCACUGUGCGAGUGACUCACGCCUGUCAUCGGUAGCUAUCAGCAGGAAAAACCCGUCUCGCCUGCUAAACCACACAUAUACAAAAGAAAACAAAUAAGGUUGUGUGGGUCAUGGAAACUUGGUGGCAAAUGCCUGGAUGUAACGAGCACCAGCGCCUCCUAGCAUUGGAAUGACAUCAUGCACUCAGCUACUCUAUUUACAUGCAUUUGGAUGAAUGGCUUCCAAUGCCUCCAGUAGGAAGUCUCUGAACUGGCAUUAUUUACAUUCCAGGGUUAUUAAAGUUAACUGAAGUGAAUGCCUUAAAAACAAUAUAAAAUAACAUUUUGUUUCUGCUAGUUGCAAAGCAAACAAAGCUGAAAUACUAAUGAAUAAAAACUAUGCAGACUUGAAAAAAAAACUAAUAAAAAUGAGAAAACAACAAAAAUUACUUAAAAACUGACUGAAAUUAAAAUAAAAGAUUAAAAUGAAAAAUAUAACUAAUAAAAAAUAUUAAUAAAAAGAAUCUAAUUUCAAUGAUGCUAAAUUAAGACUGUUACAUUCUUAAUGUAAUUUUAAGAAUUUAUUGUGAAUAAAAUAUCCAAGGUUUCUGGAUGUAAUUUCAAAUUCCCCAAAUGUCCUUGUAAUCCACUUUUUAAUUUCCAAAUAAUAUUUUUAUUAUUAUCAUUAUUAGAUAUCCAGAUUCACUUAGUAAUAUGUCACAUUACAGAUGAAACUUGGAUUACCUGACUCAAUAAUUGAAUCACUUAAUAGCUGUUAAUUCUAGACAGUAAUAAAAUUAAAUUAGAUUUUUUUAUACUUAGAUCUUUCUCCAUGAAGAAUAAUAGGUCUGCAAUUAAAUCAGAGAUCUGAAUAUGAACUCAAGCAUUUCUCAUUAAAUUCCAUAAAAAUCAUGCUGUCUGCAACAGUUUUCUCUCUCUCUCUCUCUCUCUCUCUCUCUCUCUCUCUCUCUCUCUCUCUCUAUAUAUAUAUAUAUAUAUAUAUAUAUAUAUAUAUAUCACUCUAUAUGCUCUAUAUCGGUAUACAGUUAAUAAUUGUCUAAAUUGUGUCUAUUUUUAUUUCUAUAGAUAUUUAUACAUUUAUUUCUGCAUGUGACCCUGGAUCACAAAAUCAGUCAUAAGGGUCCAUUCCUUUGAUGUAUGGUUUGUUAGUAUAGGAGAAUAUUUGGCCGUGAUACAACUAUUUGUAAAUCUGGAAUCUGAGGAUGCAAAAAAAUCUAAAUAUUGAGAAAAUGGCCUUUAAAGUUGUCCAAAUGAAGUUCUUAGCAAUGCAUAUUGCAAAAAGAAAA